RNAcentral lists this transfer RNA (72 nucleotides) under Ovis aries (sheep). It matches the Rfam family "tRNA". From Rfam's summary of the family: Transfer RNA (tRNA) molecules are approximately 80 nucleotides in length. Their secondary structure includes four short double-helical elements and three loops (D, anti-codon, and T loops). The record is from Rfam by way of RNAcentral. Lineage: Eukaryota; Metazoa; Chordata; Mammalia; Artiodactyla; Bovidae.
UCCCUGUUGGCUCAGACGGUAAAGCGUCUGCCUACAAUGUAGGAGACUCGGGUUCGAUUCCUGGGUCGGGAA